RNAcentral lists this unclassified non-coding RNA (200 nucleotides) under Hypocreales sp. RNAcentral's name for it is "partial internal transcribed spacer 2". Lineage: Eukaryota; Fungi; Ascomycota; Sordariomycetes; Hypocreales. The record is from RNAcentral.
UUAAGUUCAGCGGGUAUUCCUACCUGAUCCGAGGUCAAACUCUAAAAGUUGGGGUUUUACGGCGAGGCCACGCUGCUCUCCGGUGCGAGGUGUGCUACUACGCAAGGGAAGCUGCAGCGAGACCGCCACUGUAUUUGGGCCGUAACCCCCCUUUCGGGAGGCUAUCGGCCAACACCGCUGCCGAAUGGCCGCGAGGGUUG